This 240-nucleotide ribosomal RNA is filed under the name uncultured bacterium. Its description in RNAcentral is "partial 16S ribosomal RNA". It matches the Rfam family "Bacterial small subunit ribosomal RNA", at positions 15 to 245 of the family's 1533-position model. The record is from RNAcentral.
GAUCCUGGCUCAGGAUGAACGCUAGCUACAGGCUUAACACAUGCAAGUCGAGGGGCAGCAUUUUAGUUUGCUUGCAAACUAAAGAUUGGCGACCGGCGCACGGGUGAGUACACGUAUCCAACCUGCCGAUAACUCAGGGGUAGCCUUUCGAAGAAAGAUUAAUACCUGAUGGCAUAGGAUUAUCGCAUGAUAAUCCUAUUAAAGAAAUUUCGGUUAUCGAUGGGGAUGCGUUCCAUUAGG